GGCGACAUAGCUCAGAUGGUAGAGCAAACGGCUCAUAUCCGUUCGGUCAGUGGUUCGAUCCCACUUGUCGCUA
This 73-nucleotide transfer RNA is filed under the name Spirochaetaceae bacterium. RNAcentral's name for it is "tRNA-Met". It matches the Rfam family "tRNA". Rfam says of the family: Transfer RNA (tRNA) molecules are approximately 80 nucleotides in length. Their secondary structure includes four short double-helical elements and three loops (D, anti-codon, and T loops). Lineage: Bacteria; Pseudomonadati; Spirochaetota; Spirochaetia; Spirochaetales; Spirochaetaceae. The record is from RNAcentral.